Oryza brachyantha (malo sina) is the source of this 1324-nucleotide long non-coding RNA. RefSeq lists it as uncharacterized. Lineage: Eukaryota; Viridiplantae; Streptophyta; Magnoliopsida; Poales; Poaceae. The transcript has 3 exons. The record is from RefSeq and is a predicted model, not a curated record.
GAGGAAGCUUCUUAUUUCCUUUCUUUACCUUUUCAUUUCUCACUACUCCCUGUCAUCAUGUUCAUCGCAUCUGGGGGAUAGCCGGAUUGGGGAAGGAGACUCGGCGAGCUUGCAGGAGGGAGCGAGCUUGCGGGCUAUUCUCCCCGGUGGCUGCGACGGCGAUCCUUGUGUUCCUCGGCGUCUCAUCCAUUCCCCCCAGAUACAUCGCCUAGGGUUCGCAGAGGCAAAUCCCUCCCUCCCCCCCUCCCCCCCCGCAAUUUUUCUCAAUCAAUUGAUUCGAAUCCCUGCGUUUCUCCUCGAAAUCCCUAGUGGUUCGCAGAGGUAAAUCUCCCCCAUCUAGCCUUCUUCUCCGGCUCAACGACGACAACCGGUCGGCCUAUCGGUGUCCCCGGCGGCGGCAUCUCUUCCUCCGAGAAGCACCCUAGCGUUUUGUUGAGGGUGAUGCAACGUCACCACGCUUAUCUGUCUACAUAGGAAACAUCCACGAGGGGAUUCAUGGAAGCGAUUCAGGCACUUAUGACUCUGAAGGAAGGUUCCUAUAGUUGUUUCUCGUUGGCACGAGUUCAGGCAAAGCUUACAUGCUUGGAGGAGAGCUGUUGCUGCAAACCUCUUAUAUCUUUACUAGACUAUUUUCUGAAAUAUACAGUGCAAUAUAGUCUUUGUUGAUUUUUUUUUACCUGUAAUUUUCAGAACAAGUUUAUGGUUAUCAAAGAAAUCAGAUUUAUGUUGGCUAAUCUAUCUGACAAGCAAUGAAGCAAACAAAGUAGAGACACAUCAAUUGGAAAGCAGGGUCUAACCGUUCUGACCAGGUUGUAAGCUCAGUCCUUCAAGUAUAGACUAAAGAAAGCCCUUACAAAACUUCAUCUGCUAUUAUGCCAUUCCUAUGUCCUCGUGAAUGCGAGCUUUUGUGGUCACAAUAUUAUUGGCAUGGCCAGGCUUUUCUGAGGGCGGAUCAACUGCCUUUGGUUGAUACUCGCCAAGUGUUGGCUGGUUGAUUUUAUGCCGGCCUGAAUUUAUAUUAUGCUAAUGUUGCAAAGUGAUAAGCCGGUUCAGUUUUGCUUGGGAGGCGUUUAGUCUAACGAGUGAUCACUGCAUUGUCAGUGCCUGAGCUGUACAUAACGUAAAUGUAUUGCACUGUCCCAGAGUUUGUUAUUGCCGCGAUUGAACAUGUUUUUACACUUUGCAAAAGCAAGUUUUUGUUCUCUAAAUGUAUGAGUUGACUACAGAUUAGACAAAAUCUAUUAGAUUAAGGAGUACAUUGGACAUUUGGACCUCACUGCACGAUGAAUUGGAGUGUUUGUCUUUCGCGUAUGUUGUUCUUGAA